UUAAGUUCAGCGGGUAUCCCUACCUGAUCCGAGGUCAACCUUGAGAAAAGUUCAGAAGGUUCGUCCGGCGGGCGACGCCCUGCGCUCCGAAGCGAGAUGUAUGUUCUACUACGCUUGAGGCAAGACGCCACCGCCGAGGUCUUUGAGGCGCGCCCGCAAAGGACGGUGCCCAAUACCAAGCAGAGCUUGAGGGUUGUAAUGACGCUCGAACAGGCAUGCCCUUCGGAAUACCAAAGGGCGCAAUGUGCGUUCAAAGAUUCGAUGAUUCACUGAAUUCUGCAAUUCACAUUACUUAUCGCAUUUCGCUGCGUUCUUCAUCGAUGCCAGAACCAAGAGAUCCGUUGUUGAAAGUUUUAGUUUAUUAAAUGUUUUUCAGACUGCAUCGUUUACUGACUGGAGUUUGAUGGUCCUCUGGCGGGCGCUGGCCACCCCCCGGGGAGGGGGGCGGCCGCGGAGAACCGCGGCCCGCCAAAGCAACAGAGGUAGGUACACAAAGGGUGGGAGGAUCGGGCCGGAGCCCGAAUCAACUCGGUAAUGAUCCUU
Molecule: unclassified non-coding RNA, 543 nt
Filed under: uncultured Botryosphaeria
Lineage: Eukaryota; Fungi; Ascomycota; Dothideomycetes; Botryosphaeriales; Botryosphaeriaceae
Description: sequence contains ITS1, 5.8S rRNA gene, ITS2
Source: RNAcentral